GAUGAACGCUGGCGGCGUGCCUAAUACAUGCAAGUCGAGCGAACGGACGAGAAGCUUGCUUCUCUGAUGUUAGCGGCGGACGGGUGAGUAACACGUGGAUAACCUACCUAUAAGACUGGGAUAACUUCGGGAAACCGGAGCUAAUACCGGAUAAUAUUUUGAACCGCAUGGUUCAAAAGUGAAAGACGGUCUUGCUGUCACUUAUAGAUGGAUCCGCGCUGCAUUAGCUAGUUGGUAAGGUAACGGCUUACCAAGGCAACGAUGCAUAGCCGACCUGAGAGAGUGAUCGGCCACAUGGGAGCUGGGACACGGUCCAGGCUCCUACGGGAGGCAGCAGUAGGGAAUCUUCCGCAAUGGGCGAAAGCCUGACGGAGCAACGGCGCGUGAGUGAUGAAGGUGUUCGGAUCGUAAAACUCUGUUAUUGGGGAAGAACAUAUGUGUAAGUAACUGUGCACAUCUUGACGGUACCUAAUCAGAAAGCCACGGCUAACUACGUG
Molecule: ribosomal RNA, 497 nt
Filed under: uncultured bacterium
Lineage: Bacteria
Description: partial 16S ribosomal RNA
Rfam family: Bacterial small subunit ribosomal RNA
Source: RNAcentral